Non-coding RNA from Echinostoma caproni, 84 nucleotides. The record is from Rfam. Lineage: Eukaryota; Metazoa; Platyhelminthes; Trematoda; Plagiorchiida; Echinostomatidae.
GGCCUCGUAGCUCAGCUGGUAGAGCGUGCGCUUUACAAAAGCGUAGGCGGCGUCCGUGAGUGGGUUCGAAUACCAUCGAGGUUA